Long non-coding RNA from Capsella rubella, 1877 nucleotides. RefSeq lists it as uncharacterized. NCBI's taxonomy places the organism in Eukaryota, Viridiplantae, Streptophyta, Magnoliopsida, Brassicales, Brassicaceae. The record is from RefSeq and is a predicted model, not a curated record. The transcript has 19 exons.
UUCUCUUUGAUUUGUAUUAUCUCUAACGUUAUGAUGUUCUCUCUCGGAAGCUCUGCAAAGGUCUUCUAAUGAGAGAAGUCAUCGCUCGCCGCCGGUCUCGAGACAAUGAUGAUGGAGCCGCCGAUGAUCCAUCCGUUGAUGAUACAAGUCUUGUCUUGGCUGGAGAAGUAUAGUACAUCAGCGGAUAUCUGAGAGAUGGAUUCAUGUCUCUGUCGAGAUAUGAAGCCACAACUAGGGAUGCUACUACUACUUUUGGUUGGCGAGAGAGUAUGUGAUCCUAUCUUGGCCAAGAAAGAUGAUUCGCUCGCCUACAACCAUGUUGCUACUUUGAAAACUAACAAGUUGCAUCUUCCCCAUGGAAGAUACACAAGGAGCCAAGUGGAGAGCCGAGAUGUUUGUUCAAUAGACUGGUGGACUCGAGGAGGCUGCUUGCAGAUCAAACGCAAAGGCCAAGAUUCUACAUGAUGAGCUAGUGAAAUUGAUGGCUGGAGGAGAACUAUCUGACUACACUUUGCUAACUCAGUUCCUACAUUAAUAUGGUUGGCUAAUCUCCAAGGAGUUGGAAAGACAACGGUGUGCGCUAAACUUGCUUUUUUACUUAAAGAAGCAGCAGAGCUGCUGCUGCUUUGAGUGUGAAGGAGGAUGCAAGCAGAAAGUUUUUGUCUUCAUGAAAAUCCUGUAGGCUUCAGAUGCAGAGCUCUACUGGCCUGGCUUGGUCACCGUUUACUUUCGGGUCUGAAUUUGUUAGUUUCCAACAGUUGAUUCAAAAGGAGUUGAUGAGUAUGAGGAAUCUGAAGUAUAAGGUUUGUUUACCUGUUACUACUGAACCUUGUUUUGCUUAGCUCUUCUUGCGAAUAAGGCUUAACAAAUUGGUAGACACUUUCACACCGGGUCGACAUAACUAUGUCAUCAUGUACUUACUAAGAGAGAAGGUUUCAAUGGCUUUUGUCGACAUAAUUACAUCAUCAGCUGUUUUCUUGUGUUUCCUUGCAUGUGGAUUUGAUUCAGCUGCUAAUCAGUUGGGAAAUCGUUGACGAGCUCUGGUGACAACAUUCAAUGUAGAGCUAGGAAAUACAUUAGCCAUUUUGACAAAGCGAGAUGGUGAUUCAAGAGGUGCUGCUGUUUUGAGUGUCAUGGAGGUUUUCAACAACUGAUUCAAAAGGAGUUAAUGAGUCUGAGGAAUUGGAAUUAAAAGGAAACUACACAUAGAGCGGUUUAGAGGAUGAAGAAGAUCGAGUAAGUGCUGAUAUCAACAAAGAAGGAUCCAUGAACUUUUACACUAAGGUCUAGAAGAGGAGAUCAAAUCAGUUCUUAUAGAACUUUUAAUAGGCUAGCUUGGUACAAGGAGUAGCUAAAUCCUGAAAACAAGGUUCCUGCACUUGGACAGAAUGGGAAAAUCACUGGGGGAGUCUUGAUUUAAUCAAUUAUGUCGAUAGCAACUUGAGUGGGUCUUCACUUUAAGCCGAGUCUAAGAUCCUCCUGCAAAGAGAAAGUUUGGUGAAGACUUGUUGAAAUAUGUUGAUGAAACAUUGGUAGAAACCUGUGUUAGGCUCUUUCAAAGGUGACCCGGUAAAAGAGACAGGAUCGGGGAUCACAUGGAAAAUGCUUUGAAGAAGUUCUGGUGAAAACAUUCAAUGUAGAGAUAGGAAUAGCAGGAACCAUUUUGACAAAGCUAGAUGGUGAUCCAAGAGAUGUUGCUGCUUUGAGUGUCAAGGAGGUUUAUGUUCUUCUUCUUUGAUCAAUUAUGAUGGAAACAGGGAGUUUUUUUUGUCUUCAUGAAAAUCCAGUAGGCUUCAGAUGCAGAGCUCUACCGACCUGGUGGCAAUGAUGGACCUGAAGUCGCAGCUGCAAAGGUUAAUUCCGGAACAGCAGGGUAG